GAUCCUGGCUCAGGAUGAACGCUAGCGGCAGGCUUAACACAUGCAAGUCGAGGGGCAGCAUAAUGGAUAGCAAUAUCUAUGGUGGCGACCGGCGCACGGGUGCGUAACGCGUAUGCAACCUACCUUUAACAGGGGGAUAACACUGAGAAAUUGGUACUAAUACCCCAUAAUAUCAUAGAAGGCAUCUUUUAUGGUUGAAAAUUCCGAUGGUUAGAGAUGGGCAUGCGUUGUAUUCG
RNAcentral lists this ribosomal RNA (236 nucleotides) under uncultured bacterium. Its description in RNAcentral is "partial 16S ribosomal RNA". It matches the Rfam family "Bacterial small subunit ribosomal RNA", at positions 15 to 244 of the family's 1533-position model. The record is from RNAcentral.